GACGAACGCUGGCGGCGUGCUUAACACAUGCAAGUCGAACGGAAAGGCCCUGCUUUUGUGGGGUGCUCGAGUGGCGAACGGGUGAGUAACACGUGAGUAACCUGCCCUUGACUUUGGGAUAACUUCAGGAAACUGGGGCUAAUACCGGAUAGGAGCUCCUGCUGCAUGGUGGGGGUUGGAAAGUUUCGGCGGUUGGGGAUGGACUCGCGGCUUAUCAGCUUGUUGGUGGGGUAGUGGCUUACCCAGGCUUUGACGGGUAGCCGGCCUGAGAGGGUGACCGGCCACAUUGGGACUGAGAUACGGCCCAGACUCCUACGGGAGGCAGCAGUGGGGAAUAUUGCACAAAGGGCGGAAGCCUGAUGCAGCAAAGCCGCGUGCGGGAUAACGGCCUUCGGGCUGUAAACCGCUUUCGCCUGUGACGAAGCGUGAGUGACGGUAAUGGGUAAAGAAGCACCGGCUAACUACGUG
Molecule: ribosomal RNA, 468 nt
Filed under: uncultured bacterium
Lineage: Bacteria
Description: partial 16S ribosomal RNA
Rfam family: Bacterial small subunit ribosomal RNA
Source: RNAcentral